AUAGCUGCUAGUUUGGAUCUGGAGCUGUAAAACAUGUCGCAUGUGUAUGUAUUAAGAACUAUUGUUCAGAAGUAGAAAAUGAAGAAAAUUAUUUAUCUGGAUUCCUACCAAUUCCUGACUAAAAAUCUAAAAUUGAAUUGGAGAUUAGAUGAGGAUUCCUACUAAUUAUUUAUCUGGAUUCCUACAAAUUCCAGACUACCAAUUCCAAGUACUUGGAUAAACAAUUCUCGGACUGAUUAAAUCUGCUUUUUCCAAUAAGGAAGAAAAAAAAGGAAAAGAAUG
RNAcentral lists this unclassified non-coding RNA (282 nucleotides) under Hevea brasiliensis (rubber tree). Lineage: Eukaryota; Viridiplantae; Streptophyta; Magnoliopsida; Malpighiales; Euphorbiaceae. The record is from RNAcentral.